GGCUCGGCGUGCGGCCGCUUCCGCGAGCCGGGCUGGGAGGACGUUUGGCCUGGGCUAAAACGUCUACAGACCCUAGGAUUGCUGUAGGUCAGCAGUCCCCACUGGAGAAGAAAAUCUUGGUGCAGAAGGAUCAGCUGGUUCUGGGCUUGCACCUGGUGCAGCGGUCUUAGGCACCUGGUGUUU
Molecule: long non-coding RNA, 183 nt
Organism: Neomonachus schauinslandi (Hawaiian monk seal)
Lineage: Eukaryota; Metazoa; Chordata; Mammalia; Carnivora; Phocidae
Exons: 3
Source: RefSeq, a predicted model, not a curated record